RNAcentral lists this ribosomal RNA (495 nucleotides) under uncultured bacterium. Its description in RNAcentral is "partial 16S ribosomal RNA". It matches the Rfam family "Bacterial small subunit ribosomal RNA", at positions 28 to 507 of the family's 1533-position model. The record is from RNAcentral.
GACGAACGCUGGCGGCGUGCCUAAUACAUGCAAGUAGAACGCUGAAGGAGGAGCUUGCUUCUCUGGAUGAGUUGCGAACGGGUGAGUAACGCGUAGGUAACCUGCCUGGUAGCGGGGGAUAACUAUUGGAAACGAUAGCUAAUACCGCAUAAGAGUAGAUGUCGCAUGACAUUUGCUUAAAAGGUGCAUUUGCAUCACUACCAGAUGGACCUGCGUUGUAUUAGCUAGUUGGUGAGGUAACGGCUCACCAAGGCAACGAUACAUAGCCGACCUGAGAGGGUGAUCGGCCACACUGGGACUGAGACACGGCCCAGACUCCUACGGGAGGCAGCAGUAGGGAAUCUUCGGCAAUGGACGGAAGUCUGACCGAGCAACGCCGCGUGAGUGAAGAAGGUUUUCGGAUCGUAAAGCUCUGUUGUAAGAGAAGAACGAGUGUGAGAGUGGAAAGUUCACACUGUGACGGUAUCUUACCAGAAAGGGACGGCUAACUACGUG